CUUUCCCCUCACACAAAACUGUUCCUUUAGCUAUCUUGCACGCCUUCUCCCACCUGCUCUGACCUCUUCCAACCUGACCUAUUAGUUGACUGCCAUCAUGAACCAUGGUGCUUCUCCUCUUGACUGCUCGUCGAAGGCCGCUAUUUGCCCUUUUGUUCCUGUUUUGGUGUUGUUGCUGCUCCUUGCCAUUGCCCUCUUUGCUGCACCAGGCCAACUUCGGCUCGCUCCUCUACCGUGUCCUCUCUUAGCCUCCGUUUACUGCUUAAGGGUUCUCAAUUGAGUUUUAAUUGCUGACUUGGCAUCUCCUUAUUGGUGAAUUGAUGGUAGUUCACCCGAUCAAUUGAGAUGAUGGAUUCAAUUGAGGACAAAAUUGAGAUUUCGCCUCCUUAUUGGAUGGACAGAGUUGCUGAGAAUUCAUUUACGCCGCUCACCGUGUCUCUUCUUCUUCGAAGCUAUUUUCUCUCUUUCUUCUCUGGUUCCUUCUCCCUUGCUCCUCCUUUAAUUAAACAUUAAACAACAGUGCAAGACAAAUCAGAGGUCAUACAUUGGUCUUCUUCUUGCAGGUUAAAGGGUUUUUGUCGAAAUUUUCUUUGACUGCUCACUUUUCAUGACUGGUUGCAACCAUUAUCGGUAGUAAAACAUUUGCCAAAGAAGAAGUCCCAAAUAUUAGAUUUUUUGUACAGGCUAGAAGCGGUAAAACCAUUUUAUGGUUUGCAUUGUAUUGACAUAAAGGGGUAUUGAAGACUGCUACUUUUGCUUAAUGUUGAAUUUUGCAUACAAGUUCCGCGAAGAAUUACGGGUUGAAUUUCUAGGAUGAAGAGUGCGAAAGUUGAUUAACUACUUGAGAUGACUGCUUUUUCACUUUUCUCCUAUACUGUCAUGAUCAAGACGCAAGAUAAUAUCUUUCCAACCACGAUCAGUGUGCAUUUGACAGUUUGAAUUUCUUUUUUUUCUUAAUUCUUGCCCCGGUGAAGAUUAGUAAUCAUCCAAAAUUAUUUAUGUAUAAAUAUAUUUAUGGGAACAUCAACGAUUGUCUAGGGAUCAACUGGCCUCUUUACUUAUUCGAUAAUUCCUUUCUCAUAUUUUUUUUUCUAUGAUAGCGUUAUUGCGUUCAACUGAAUUGUGUUUUUCUUCAAUUAGGAAGUGUUUGGCUUCAACAAUUUAUCACAGUAUUAGAUGACAGCAUCCUUAAUUUUGUACAAUGCAAAGCUAUGGUUCCAACCUACCAUAGCUGAAUUUAUGGUUGAUUUUGAUGCACAUACAAAGCUGUGGCUAUAAAGCACGUGCUCCGUCUCAUACCAUUGCAUCUUCUCAAACAACUACAGGAUUACAAUAUUUCAAAAAUAUAUCGGACAUUAGUGGGCAUAAUUCCAUUCAUCCAC
Long non-coding RNA from Coffea arabica (coffee), 1382 nucleotides. RefSeq lists it as uncharacterized. Lineage: Eukaryota; Viridiplantae; Streptophyta; Magnoliopsida; Gentianales; Rubiaceae. The record is from RefSeq and is a predicted model, not a curated record.